AGGGAAAUAGCUCAGGGGUAGAGCACAUGCUUAGCAUGCACGAGGUCCUGGGCUCAAUCCCCAGCACCUCCA
RNAcentral lists this transfer RNA (72 nucleotides) under Camelus bactrianus (Bactrian camel). It matches the Rfam family "tRNA". From Rfam's summary of the family: Transfer RNA (tRNA) molecules are approximately 80 nucleotides in length. Their secondary structure includes four short double-helical elements and three loops (D, anti-codon, and T loops). Further hydrogen bonds mediate the characteristic L-shaped molecular structure. tRNAs have two regions of fundamental functional importance: the anti-codon, which is responsible for specific mRNA codon recognition, and the 3' end, to which the tRNAs corresponding amino acid is attached (by aminoacyl-tRNA synthetases). tRNAs cope with the degeneracy of the genetic code in two manners: having more than one tRNA (with a specific anti-codon) for a particular amino acid; and 'wobble' base-pairing, i.e. permitting non-standard base-pairing at the 3rd anti-codon position. Lineage: Eukaryota; Metazoa; Chordata; Mammalia; Artiodactyla; Camelidae. The record is from Rfam by way of RNAcentral. RNAcentral also lists the same sequence under 2 other names.